Long non-coding RNA from Sapajus apella (tufted capuchin), 1212 nucleotides. RefSeq lists it as uncharacterized. The record is from RefSeq and is a predicted model, not a curated record. NCBI's taxonomy places the organism in Eukaryota, Metazoa, Chordata, Mammalia, Primates, Cebidae. The transcript is spliced from 3 exons.
AUCACCAUAAAUCAUAGAUUACUCAUUGGUUACUUUACUGCCUUUAGAGUUUUCUUAUUUGUCGCCUCCUUUUUCUAGAUAUAAAUUAUAACUUUAUUUUCUUCUUUUUCUACACAAUUUAUUUGAAAAAAAGAAUUGCAAUUUGAGGCGUAUACACAGACCAGCGUAGUCUUUGGUAUGUCCAAAGAACAAAGAAAGGUUGGGGAUUUUAUCAGAAAGAGAAAUGUUACAUAUGGCUUUGAAAGAACACUCAUUGGCAAUAGGAAAGUUUCCAGGGGCUGGCAAGAUCUAAUUGGUGUGUGAUAGCAGUAGGUUAAACUAGUUUUAGAGCCAUGGCAUUUUGUUACAGCAGCUACUGGGUAAAGCUAUUCUUUAAGUUUAUGGCAUUUGGUUAUUUUGGCAGCUGGUUUGCAGGAUAAUACCUGGACAGGCAUUUGUGCCCCAUGUGCUUCUCUUUUCUGCUCCUGAUCUCUUGAUUUAACUGAAUUGAGUAUGACAAUAACUCCAAUUCAUUUAAUCAAUUUUCACAGUAUAUGCAACAGUUUAUUUAUUUGUUGAUGGGCACAUAUUUGUAAUAAUUGUCUAUUAUGAGCACUUGUAUACAUAGCAAUUCAUUUUUUAAUUCUUUUGUGAGCCUAUUUAGGAGUGGGAAUACCAACUUUAUUUUCUAAAAGUUUAUAUUUCUUUGCUUUCCUUUUCUUCUCCCUUAACUAUCUCUUGGUCCUAUUGUCUUAAACAAAAAAUACACGGACUAUUGGACCAAAAAGUGAAGUGAAGUCUCUUAGACCUUUUAGAUUUAAGUAAAGUAGCCUUAAACAAAUUAUCUGGUAUCCUGUAAGAAAGAAGGAGGUCCAUUGCCCUCCUCGAGAUUUGUGUACUCCCAGGUCAUCGUAUAAAUGAGCUCUGGCUCUUUUUGCUUCUGCUUAACCUUCAUGUAUCUUUUUUCCUCAUUAUUUCUUAAUGAUCUAGACAUGGAACUCGGCUCUCUUUCCUUGUUACUCACAUAAGGUAUUGGUUGAUGUGACAGGUUUUGUCUAAUUCUGAGAGCAAAUGGGAGGGAGUCAUUUUGUGCUUAUGUAAAAAUAAUUUAGAAUUGAAUAUUAGACGUCAUUGAAAUUAAAUGUCCUUUAUCCAUUACAAAUUUCUCACAGGUCACCUUAGUCUUCAGGGUUCCAGUAUGCUUUUCCCUUCGUUAUUUCUCUUUUCCCAUUG